UGGGGAAUCUUGCGCAAUGGGCGAAAGCCUGACGCAGCAACGCCGCGUGAGCGAAGACGGCCUUCGGGUUGUAAAGCUCUGUCAGGAGGGACGAAGCCACUCAGGUGAAUAGCCGAGAGGGUGACGGUACCUCCAGAGGAAGCCCCGGCUAACUACGUGCCAGCAGCCGCGGUAAUACGUAGGGGGCGAGCGUUGUCCGGAAUCAUUGGGCGUAAAGCGCGUGUAGGCGGCCAUCCAAGUCCGAUGUGAAAGCUCGGGGCUCAACCCCGAGUCUGCAUUGGAAACUGGCUGGCUAGAGUCCGGAAGAGGAGACUGGAAUUCCUGGUGUAGCGGUGAAAUGCGCAGAUAUCAGGAAGAACACCGGUGGCGAAGGCGGGUCUCUGGGACGGUACUGACGCUGAGACGCGAAAGCGUGGGGAGCAAACAGG
Molecule: ribosomal RNA, 428 nt
Filed under: uncultured bacterium
Lineage: Bacteria
Description: bacterial SSU rRNA
Rfam family: Bacterial small subunit ribosomal RNA
Source: RNAcentral